CGAGUCAGCAGCCACCGUUCACAGAAAAUGUUCGCUGCAAAGAGUCCGUUUUUUUCUCGCUUCGAGUGUUCGGUUUUAUGUACAAAGAAAGAAAGUGAGGAUUACUUGGAGUCAGAAACAGACUCAGCAGAAGCGCGGUUGCGCAACGCCUAACUUGCUACUUCAGGGAAAGAAUACAGGGCAUCGUUGGGCUGGAGAGAUGGCUCAGCCGUUAAAGGCUAGGCUCACAACCAAAAAUAUAAGAGUUCGGUUCCCAGCACCCACGGCUGUCUCUCCAGCCACCUUUUUUGUCGGACACCGCACCCACGCACACAGACUACUAAUAUAGAUAAAAGACAACUCUUAGAAAAUGUUAUCGGCUGUAACGAAAUGGAAAACAAUGAUUUAAAUAAAGCAAAUAAGCAAGUAAAGAACUCCUAAGGCUCCACACCCUGCGUAUGACCGGAGGAUUUGCGCGCUGGCGUCUGCCCUAGUCACUUAGCGUGAUGACCUCUUUCAUGCUGUUGCUACUGACUCCAAAUCAACUCGACGUCGUCCUCUCCUCCCUCCUCUCUUUACUACUCCUCUCAUUUUGAAAAAAGUAGUUUUGGCAUACAUGGACCGCCUCAAGCACCAGGACCUAGGAACUUCUGACAGCUUUCCUCUUCUCUUGGGCUCAGCUGGCCUCAACUAUUCACCAGGUUGCUUAGAGUUCUCCCUUCCCUAGAUAGUUUGUGGCGAUUCCAUCACAUCCAGGAUGGGACCACUCUCCUCGUCUCUGGCAACCAUUGUGUUUGUCUGCUCACUGACCGAGGUCCGGAAAGACCGACUCGUCACUGCACCUCUGGUAACAAAUCAGCGAUGGCGAGUGUUAACUGAGAACCUUGGGCUGGCUAUGAAACAAUACAAGAACUGGAUUUUUGUCCACACUCUCUACCCUUGGGUGUAAGGAAACUUGCUAACGUUCUUUAACAUUUUGCUACAGCCAUGUACAGAUGGGUGGCUAUCCAGGUGAACGCACCCUGGGCAAGGACUGUUAAAGCUGAGGGUGAGGCGGUCCUCCCGAGCUGGUGGGCACCUUGAAGGGGUUGUCUACGACUGAAGGUGAACGUUCUGGUGAUCGGGGGACCAGUGGGCAAGAAUCAGAGAUGUCCACGCACUAUUUUAUUUUCAUGUCGAGUUUUCUUCACACGCUGGUCCGACCUUUCCUGGAGUCCCGCACGUGGACGAAAACCAGGGGCAAGCUUCCAAGUGCUCCCAGCAGGAUGCGGGAGGAUUGAGUUUUGAGACGUGUCAGUCAUCCCUGAGGAGGGUGGCCUCCGUGUGCAGCCUCCUUGCAG
This 1319-nucleotide long non-coding RNA is filed under the name Mus spicilegus (steppe mouse). RNAcentral describes it as "lncRNA (ENSMSIG00000019164.1)". The record is from RNAcentral. Lineage: Eukaryota; Metazoa; Chordata; Mammalia; Rodentia; Muridae.